UGGGGAAUUUUGGACAAUGGGCGCAAGCCUGAUCCAGCCAUGCCGCGUGCAGGAAGAAGGCCUUCGGGUUGUAAACUGCUUUUGUCAGGGAAGAAAUCCUCUGGGUUAAUACCUCGGAGGGAUGACGGUACCUGAAGAAUAAGCACCGGCUAACUACGUGCCAGCAGCCGCGGUAAUACGUAGGGUGCGAGCGUUAAUCGGAAUUACUGGGCGUAAAGCGUGCGCAGGCGGCUUUGCAAGACAGAUGUGAAAUCCCCGGGCUCAACCUGGGAACUGCAUUUGUGACUGCAAGGCUAGAGUGCGGCAGAGGGAGAUGGAAUUCCGCGUGUAGCAGUGAAAUGCGUAGAUAUGCGGAGGAACACCGAUGGCGAAGGCAAUCUCCUGGGCCUGCACUGACGCUCAUGCACGAAAGCGUGGGGAGCAAACNGGAUUAGAUACCCUGGUAGUCCACGCCCUAAAACGAUGUCAACUGGUUGUUGGACGGCUUGCUGUUCAGUAACGAAGCUAACGCGUGAAGUUGACCGCCUGGGGAGUACGGCCGCAAGGUUGAAAACUCAAAGGAAUUGACGGGGGUCAUAGCU
This 581-nucleotide ribosomal RNA is filed under the name uncultured bacterium. Its description in RNAcentral is "partial 16S ribosomal RNA". It matches the Rfam family "Bacterial small subunit ribosomal RNA", at positions 355 to 927 of the family's 1533-position model. The record is from RNAcentral.